Molecule: ribosomal RNA, 450 nt
Filed under: uncultured bacterium
Lineage: Bacteria
Description: partial 16S ribosomal RNA
Rfam family: Bacterial small subunit ribosomal RNA
Source: RNAcentral
GUGGGGAAUAUUGGACAAUGGGCGAAAGCCUGAUCCAGCCAUGCCGCGUGUGUGAAGAAGGUCUUCGGAUUGUAAAGCACUUUAAGUUGGGAGGAAGGGCAGUAAGUUAAUACCUUGCUGUUUUGACGUUACCAACAGAAUAAGCACCGGCUAACUUCGUGCCAGCAGCCGCGGUAAUACGAAGGGUGCAAGCGUUAAUCGGAAUUACUGGGCGUAAAGCGCGCGUAGGUGGUUUUGUAAGUUGGAGGUGAAAUCCCCGGGCUCAACCUGGGAACUGCCUCCAAAACUACAUGACUAGAGUACGGUAGAGGGUAGUGGAAUUGCCUGUGUAGCGGUGAUAUGCGUAGAUAUAGGAAGGAACACCAGUGGCGAAGACGACUACCUGGACUGAUACUGACACUGAGGUGCGAAAGCGUGGGGAGCAAACAGGAUUAGAAACCCUAGUAGUCC